GGGGGGAAUCUUCCGCAAUGGACGAAAGUCUGACGGAGCAACGCCGCGUGAGUGAUGAAGGCUUUCGGGUCGUAAAACUCUGUUGUUAGGGAAGAACAAGUGCUAGUUGAAUAAGCUGGCACCUUGACGGUACCUAACCAGAAAGCCACGGCUAACUACGUGCCAGCAGCCGCGGUAAUACGUAGGUGGCAAGCGUUAUCCGGAAUUAUUGGGCGUAAAGCGCGCGCAGGUGGUUUCUUAAGUCUGAUGUGAAAGCCCACGGCUCAACCGUGGAGGGUCAUUGGAAACUGGGAGACUUGAGUGCAGAAGAGGAAAGUGGAAUUCCAUGUGUAGCGGUGAAAUGCGUAGAGAUAUGGAGGAACACCAGUGGCGAAGGCGACUUUCUGGUCUGUAACUGACACUGAGGCGCGAAAGCGUGGGGGAGCAAACAGGAUUAGAUACCCUGGUAGUC
This 451-nucleotide ribosomal RNA is filed under the name Bacillus cereus. RNAcentral describes it as "bacterial SSU rRNA". It matches the Rfam family "Bacterial small subunit ribosomal RNA", at positions 354 to 795 of the family's 1533-position model. Lineage: Bacteria; Bacillati; Bacillota; Bacilli; Caryophanales; Bacillaceae. The record is from RNAcentral.